This 591-nucleotide ribosomal RNA is filed under the name Phytophthora colocasiae. RNAcentral describes it as "eukaryotic LSU rRNA". It matches the Rfam family "Eukaryotic large subunit ribosomal RNA", at positions 95 to 668 of the family's 3401-position model. Lineage: Eukaryota; Oomycota; Peronosporomycetes; Peronosporales; Peronosporaceae. The record is from RNAcentral.
AAGCGGGGAAAAGCUCAAAUUUAAAAUCUGAUAGUCUUUGGCUGUCCGAGUUGUAGUCUGGAGAAGCGUUUUCUGUGCUGGACCGUGUAUAAGUUCCUUGGAAUAGGGCGUCAUAGAGGGUGAGAAUCCCGUCUUUGACACGGACUACCAGUGCUUUGUGAUGCGCUCUCAAAGAGUCGAGUUGUUUGGGAAUGCAGCUCAAAAUGGGUGGUAAAUUCCAUCUAAAGCUAAAUAUUGGCGAGAGACCGAUAGCGAACAAGUACCGUGAGGGAAAGAUGAAAAGCACUUUGGAAAGAGAGUUAAACAGUACGUGAAAUUGCUGAAAGGGAAACGCUUGAAGUCAGUCGCGUUGUGCAGAACUCAGCCUGGCUUUUGCUUGGUGUAUUUUCUGUAUAACGGGCCAGCAUCAAUUUUGGCCGCUGGAAAAAGGCUUUAGAAAUGUGGCACCUUCGGGUGUGUUAUAGUCUAGAGUCAUAUACAGCGGCUGGGAUUGAGGUCUGCAGCACGCCUUUAUGGCUGGGGUUCGCCCACAUUCGUGCUUAGGAUGCUGGCCGUAAUGGCUUUAAACGACCCGUCUUGAAACACGGACCA